UACGGGGGGAGCAAGCGUUGUUCGGAUUUACUGGGCGUAAAGGGCGCGUAGGCGGUCGUGACAAGUCACUUGUGAAAUCUCCGGGCUUAACUCGGAACGGUCAAGUGAUACUGUCGACUAGAGUACAGAAGGGGCAACUGGAAUUCUCGGUGUAGCGGUGAAAUGCGUAGAUAUCGAGAGGAACACCUGCGGCGAAGGCGGGUUGCUGGGCUGAUACUGACGCUGAGGCGCGAAAGCCAGGGGAGCGAACGGG
RNAcentral lists this ribosomal RNA (253 nucleotides) under uncultured bacterium. RNAcentral describes it as "partial 16S ribosomal RNA". It matches the Rfam family "Bacterial small subunit ribosomal RNA", at positions 524 to 776 of the family's 1533-position model. The record is from RNAcentral.